AUAUCGCCUAGAGAGUAGGCCC
This 22-nucleotide non-coding RNA is filed under the name Arabidopsis thaliana (thale cress). The record is from RNAcentral. Lineage: Eukaryota; Viridiplantae; Streptophyta; Magnoliopsida; Brassicales; Brassicaceae.